RNAcentral lists this ribosomal RNA (465 nucleotides) under uncultured Klebsiella sp. RNAcentral's name for it is "bacterial SSU rRNA". It matches the Rfam family "Bacterial small subunit ribosomal RNA", at positions 338 to 795 of the family's 1533-position model. The record is from RNAcentral. Lineage: Bacteria; Pseudomonadati; Pseudomonadota; Gammaproteobacteria; Enterobacterales; Enterobacteriaceae.
CCUACGGGUGGCUGCAGUGGGGAAUAUUGCACAAUGGGCGCAAGCCUGAUGCAGCCAUGCCGCGUGUGUGAAGAAGGCCUUCGGGUUGUAAAGCACUUUCAGCGGGGAGGAAGGCGUUAAGGUUAAUAACCUGGGCGAUUGACGUUACCCGCAGAAGAAGCACCGGCUAACUCCGUGCCAGCAGCCGCGGUAAUACGGAGGGUGCAAGCGUUAAUCGGAAUUACUGGGCGUAAAGCGCACGCAGGCGGUCUGUCAAGUCGGAUGUGAAAUCCCCGGGCUCAACCUGGGAACUGCAUUCGAAACUGGCAGGCUAGAGUCUUGUAGAGGGGGGUAGAAUUCCAGGUGUAGCGGUGAAAUGCGUAGAGAUCUGGAGGAAUACCGGUGGCGAAGGCGGCCCCCUGGACAAAGACUGACGCUCAGGUGCGAAAGCGUGGGGAGCAAACAGGAUUAGAUACCCCUGUAGUC